GGGUCCGUAGCUCAACUAGGCAGAGCAGCACCCUUUUAAGGUGAUGGUUGCACGUUCGAUUCGUGCCGGACCCA
This 74-nucleotide transfer RNA is filed under the name Parcubacteria group bacterium CG08_land_8_20_14_0_20_38_56. Its description in RNAcentral is "tRNA-Lys". It matches the Rfam family "tRNA". From Rfam's summary of the family: Transfer RNA (tRNA) molecules are approximately 80 nucleotides in length. RNAcentral also lists the same sequence under 1 other name. The record is from RNAcentral.